UGUCUGGGUGGUCACCUGUAAAUAGCCUCUUUUGUCUUUAUGUCUUAGCAGUGGUUGGUCUUAGGAAGUCAUGUGGCCACCCUAACUGGUAGGGUCUGACUGGGUAAUUUUCCAUGGAAGGGCGGAAUUAGAGACAAAGAAUUCCCACCUGAAAGAGAAGGCUAUUUAAGGUCCUUUGUCUUUGGCUUGCAUGUCAUUCCCAAGAGAGUGUAUCAGAGACCCCAGGGCAAAAGAUCUUCCCUGGCUUGGAGAGUUAGCUGAAAUAAGGACAGUUUUAGGUAGGAACAAACCAUAAGAGGAAAAGGAUUUAUAAACAAGAACUUAUAAGCACGUCUCUUACCUAAGGCCUGCCAUCCCCUGACGAUAAUCUAAGGCAGGACCAUCUUCUUUAGACACCCCCCCGAAAGUCCCAUGCAGGCAGAAGGAACUCAUGACCUUCAGAAGUUGAGAUGUCUGCUGAAUACAGAAAAUCUACAACAUACACCCUCCAGGUUUUUGUUUAAGGAUUAAAAAAAUGUGUAACAGAAGUAGAAUGCACAGUGGCAUUCAGAUGCCAUUAAAAUUGAUU
Pelodiscus sinensis (Chinese soft-shelled turtle) is the source of this 568-nucleotide non-coding RNA. NCBI's taxonomy places the organism in Eukaryota, Metazoa, Chordata, Testudines, Trionychidae. The record is from RefSeq and is a predicted model, not a curated record.